Molecule: unclassified non-coding RNA, 213 nt
Filed under: plant metagenome
Description: partial contains small subunit ribosomal RNA, internal transcribed spacer 1, and 5.8S ribosomal RNA
Source: RNAcentral
UUUCCGUAGGUGAACCUGCGGAAGGAUCAUUCAUAAUAAGUGUUUUAUGGCACUUUUUUAAAUCCAUAUCCACCUUGUGUGCAAUGUCAGGGUUGAUUUUUCUCUCGAGAGGAUCAACCCCAAACAUCAACUAUAUCUCAACUCUUUGUCUCAAAAAUAUUAUGAAUAAAACAAUUCAAAAUACAACUUUCAACAACGGAUCUCUUGGCUCUC